GAACUGAAGAGUUUGAUCCUGGCUCAGAUUGAACGCUGGCGGCAUGCUUUACACAUGCAAGUCGAACGGCAGCGCGGGGCAACCUGGCGGCGAGUGGCGAACGGGUGAGUAAUAUAUCGGAACGUACCCAAGAGUGGGGGAUAACGUAGCGAAAGUUACGCUAAUACCGCAUACGAUCUAAGGAUGAAAGCAGGGGAUCUUCGGACCUUGUGCUCCUGGAGCGGCCGAUAUCUGAUUAGCUAGUUGGUGAGGUAAAGGCUCACCAAGGCCACGAUCAGUAGCUGGUCUGAGAGGACGACCAGCCACACUGGAACUGAGACACGGUCCAGACUCCUACGGGAGGCAGCAGUGGGGAAUUUUGGACAAUGGGCGAAAGCCUGAUCCAGCAAUGCCGCGUGAGUGAAGAAGGCCUUCGGGUUGUAAAGCUCUUUUGUCAGGGAAGAAACGGUGAAGGCUAAUAUCCUU
Molecule: ribosomal RNA, 465 nt
Filed under: Oxalobacteraceae sp. CFBP 13708
Lineage: Bacteria; Pseudomonadati; Pseudomonadota; Betaproteobacteria; Burkholderiales; Oxalobacteraceae
Description: bacterial SSU rRNA
Rfam family: Bacterial small subunit ribosomal RNA
Source: RNAcentral